ACAGAGGGUGCAAGCGUUGUUCGGAAUUACUGGGCGUAAAGCGUGCGUAGUCGGUAUUGAGAGUCGCGGGUGAAAUCCCAGGGCUUAACCCUGGAACUGCCUGCGAGACCUCAGUACUAGAGUGUGAGAGGGGAUAGUGGAAUACCCAGUGUAGCGGUGAAAUGCGUAGAGAUUGGGUGGAACACCGGUGGCGAAGGCGGCUAUCUGGCUCACAACUGACGAUCAGGCACGAAAGCAUGGGGAGCAAACAGG
Molecule: ribosomal RNA, 252 nt
Filed under: uncultured bacterium
Lineage: Bacteria
Description: partial 16S ribosomal RNA
Rfam family: Bacterial small subunit ribosomal RNA
Source: RNAcentral